UGCCCAGCAACUCCUCUCCCCACCUCCUCGUGGUACUGGCCGGGGUACGAGUAACCUUAGGGAAGAUCGGGUAACCAAUCCCGGUGGGAACUCUGAUCGUAUACUGACAGAGAAGG
This 116-nucleotide ribozyme is filed under the name Aedes aegypti (yellow fever mosquito). Its description in RNAcentral is "drz-agam-1 ribozyme". It matches the Rfam family "drz-agam-1 ribozyme". The record is from Rfam by way of RNAcentral. Lineage: Eukaryota; Metazoa; Arthropoda; Insecta; Diptera; Culicidae.